UUAAGUUCAGCGGGUAGUCCUACUCGAUUUGAGGUCAAGUUGUCAAAAAGUGUCCGAAGACGGUUUGAAAGCACAGAGCUCCCAAUCGGCCACCCUCUUGCGAGGUGCCGGCGAAGAUACUUAUCACGCCGUACUAUGUCCAACCAAGAGAUGCACUGACGCAUUUGAGGUGAGCCGCAAGGUAAGCAGCAAACACCCAA
Molecule: unclassified non-coding RNA, 200 nt
Filed under: Sebacina sp.
Lineage: Eukaryota; Fungi; Basidiomycota; Agaricomycetes; Sebacinales; Sebacinaceae
Description: partial internal transcribed spacer 2
Source: RNAcentral